This 423-nucleotide ribosomal RNA is filed under the name uncultured bacterium. RNAcentral's name for it is "bacterial SSU rRNA". It matches the Rfam family "Bacterial small subunit ribosomal RNA", at positions 207 to 622 of the family's 1533-position model. The record is from RNAcentral.
AAGACCUUGCACUUUUGGAGCGGCCGAUGUCUGAUUAGCUAGUUGGUGGGGUAAUGGCCUACCAAAGCGUCGAUCAGUAGCUGGUCUGAGAGGACGGCCAGCCACACUGGGACUGAGACACGGCCCAGACUCCUACGGGAGGCAGCAGUGGGGAAUUUUGGACAAUGGGCGCAAGCCUGAUCCAGCCAUGCCGCGUGAGUGAAGAAGGCCUUCGGGUUGUAAAGCUCUUUCAGCCGGGAAGAAAAGGUUGCGAUUAAUAAUCGCAAUUUAUGACGGUACCGGAAGAAGAAGCACCGGCUAACUACGUGCCAGCAGCCGCGGUAAUACGUAGGGUGCGAGCGUUAAUCGGAAUUACUGGGCGUAAAGGGUGCGCAGGCGGUUUUGUAAGUCAGAUGUGAAAGCCCCGGGCUCAACCUGGGAACU